AAUGAUACUGAUCAAUGCAAAAGGUGAAGUCAUCACAGCGAGAUCAAAGGUUGAAACGCUUGUGGUAUAAUUGCUUAAGGAUUGGUAGCUGAUUCAGGUUUGGUGUCUUUGGAAGGGAAUGUGGACUUUGGUAACUCAGGCAAGUGGGGAAAAGUUGGCAGUUCAGGUUUUGGCAACUCAGGCAAGUGGGGAAAAGCUGGCAGUUCAGGCUUUGGAAACUCAGGCAAUUCAGGUUUUGGCAGCGUGGGAAUUUCAGGCUUCGACAACUCAGGCAAUUCAGGUAAUUUUGGCAGAGUGGGAAGUUCAGGUUUAGGAAAGGUUGGGACUUCAGGUAAUGGUGGAAGCUCAACCUUAGGAAGUAAUGGCAAGUCAGGCAAUUCAGGCUUAGGAAGCUCCGGGACCUCAGGUAAUGUUGUCUCUAGAAGCUGUCGUGCUUCUGCAGAGAUUGACAGAGCAACGAGUGAGAGCAGAACAAUGAGUGAAGGGGAGCGAAGAUUGGCCAUAACUAUGCAACAAGAUCAAUCAGCUGUAAAUACAAUUUAUCCUCACUUUUGUUUUGUGUGUGUUGAUGUUCACUUGUGUUGAGCUUUUAUAGAAGUGGGAAGUGAAGAAUGGGGAACUUCCAAAGGUGAUUUAGUGGGAAAAGUUGUGUUAGCUCAACUUCCCACCCAUAAGACUCCCACUGUUGGCAUGACCAACUAUAGACUUCCUUACAAGUGUAACCUUGCUAUCUUUCUAUAUGGAGUCCAGAGAUUGGUUAGAUUGAUAAUAAGCUAAAAUAUGGUUCUCACUUGUAAUCAUUCUCAGAAAUCAGAACACUUGUGAAGUUCAAGCUUUUUCACCUAUUUAAUAAUUCACUUCUUUCCUGUUCUACCUACAAAAGAUGAGAUUCUGAAGAAUGGUUCUUCUUUAGUUACUUUAAAAUAAUGUUCAACGAAGAUAGCCUCAUCUGCAAAGUUGGCCAACCUACACACUAAACUUUGACAUGUCUUUCUUUUUAUUGAAGCUCUGACUGAUCUUCACAUCACAUCCAAUUAUCCACAAGGUACUCUUCUAUUUGAAAUUAAGAAUUUUAUUAAAAAUUAAUUCAAUUGAUUUCUUUUAUAUCAAUCUCUUGGUUGGAAUGAGAUUCAAUUUUUUUGACUUAUAAAAUUUUCAUAUUAAAAAAAUUGAAACCAUGUGUAUUCUUGUAAGAAUUUAUUUAUAUUCUUUUUUUUUUCAAACUGAAUCAUUGCAAACAAAAGGACUAUAUAAGGUAGUAUAUAUGAUUCUCAGUUGUAAUUAUAACAGUUCAAAAUAUGUCUAAUCACAUUAGUUUCGGUAGAUCUUCAACAAACUGAAAAUUACUAAUGUUUACAACGGAAUCUGUCUCAGCAAUAUGUAAUCUCCAUAUGCUUUUUUAGUUUUCAGAAACCUUGUAAUUUUUACAGAAUAAAGGAAUUUUACCAUUACGGGUGUAACAUCUAGUUAAACUCCGAUGUCGGAAUCUCAACGUUCUGACGGAAUCUCCGUCGAGAUCCAGAAUCUCGAAGCUAAAAUUUUUAGAAGGAUAAAAUAGAGUUUUCAUAAAAUGAAUUAAAAAUUUUUCUUGGUGUGUUUUAAAAAAAAAUAAAAAAUUUAGAGGAGUUUUAAAGUUCGGCCGCCGAAGACGGCUCUUCCAGCCACUUAUAAAAGGCCUUCAACCCAAAAAUAUGAGAACUCUUUCUCUAUUUUCGAGCAGAGGUAAGUCCAUGCCCUUUUCCAGACAUUCUUGCUAAAAUUACUUCAAAUCUCUUGGAGAAUACAUGAGUUUUUACUUCAUUUUUUAAGAUUUGAGUUUGGAUUUCAAGCUUUAAACUUUGGAGACCUCCGAAAAUCGAUUUCCCAAUUCUCCAAAUCUUGGUUGUUGUGUUUUCUAUGUUUUUCAAGAGGUAAGUUCAAUCUUUGCUUUUCUUAUGCUUUUUGAAGGUUUUAAACCGAUAUUAUAAGUUGUUAGGACAUGCAUGAUUGAUUAUUCUAAAGUUUUAAAGUUUGAGUUAGUUUUGAUGAUGGAUGAUUUUCUCCUGGGAUUUUGUUGAUGCAUGUUGAGUUUAGAACAGUUUUUGAGGUCUCUUAUGCGUGUUAAGUGUGUAUGGUAGUCUUUAGCCUGUUGCAUGUAAGUUUGGGUUUGUUUAUUGGCUAUGAGCAUAGGGCAAAAUCAGGUUCUGCCUUACUGGAGAUCCUAGGUUCAGCCGCUGAAGCAAGGUUCGGCCACCAAAUCUGUCUGUAGAGGCAGCCAUUUGGCCACCUAACCUGCCGCUGAAAGUCCUCUGUUCAGCCUUUUUCAGCUUGUUUCCUACGUGUGUUCUUGUAUGUUCUUAGGGGUUUUCUUGAGGGUAGUUUAAGUAUUGUAAUAGUUAUGUUUGGUUCCUCAUUUAAAUCCAUCUAUGUAGGAUCGGACUUUGGAGACUGUAGAGGCUUGCAGUGAGAUAACUGCUUCAGUACUAGGCGUGCAUCAGUCAAAGGUGAGUAGAACUGAACUGAUAUAUUAUUUUAAAGAAAUCAAACUUUUUAAGCAUACUCAUACAUCACGAAUGUCAUGUAUAUACGAUUAGGUUGUUUUGCAUUAGAGUUCACGAAUAUAAUACAUUGCAUAAAUUAUUGUUGUUGUGGAUGGACGUUGGAUGACCCACUAGCCCUCGAGUAUGUUAUGAUAUGUUAUGAUGGAUAUGGAAAGACUAGGGUUGCCUAUUCUACGCCUCUGGCACUAUGUAAGGGAAAGACCAGGGCUGCCCAUUCUAUGCCCCUUGCACUAUGGAUAUGUUAUGUUAUAUUUAAGAGGAAAACCUGAGGAGCACUCGUCGUGGGCCGAGCACUAUUGAAAUCUGUAGAGGGUUACUGAUGACAAGUCCAUUUUGAUGUAAAUUGUUUGUGCUGUGAUGCAUUCAUACAAUCAUAUAUUUUAUUGAACUGUUUUUUUAUGUUCUGCUCACUAGACUCUUAUAGUUUAUCCCCUUUCCCCUAAUCCCAGGUUUGCAGGAUCAAAGUUAGCUCGGGAAGUCGGCUGAGUUGCUGGUAUAGCCUAUUGUAAUAGUAUAGCUAUGGAAAUAUAUUCAUUUGUGGAUUAGAAUUGUGCUUUGCCCGGGUUCUUCCUUGUAAUCCUUGUUUCAUGAUCAUUUUAUAUAAAAGUUUUUAAGUAUAAGUUUAUGUUUAAAUCGAGCUUGAGGCAUGUUAUGUCACACCCAUUCUCAAAACUGUGGAGAUGGAUAUGACCCGAAAAACUGACAGAACUUCCCCUGUUGUUAAUACAUAUAACUCAUAUGACCUGCUAUAAUUUCAAAAUAUAAAACAUAUAAGAGAUGAUUGAUAGCUAGACUGGUCAAUACAUAAUAUAUUUACAAUAAACAAAACACGUUCAUCAUUUGAAUUUACAAUCUAUACAUAAUCUGUCAAAAUUACAAAAAGAAAAGACAAGACCUAGGAUUGGUCCGACCUCCUCUAGACUCUGAGUGGACGAUGUGGAAGGAAUAACAAACUAGGAGAUGAGGACUGCUGAGCGGAUCACCAAAAAAAAACUGAAUAUUAAAAGAAAUAAGAGUGAGUACAACAUAUUCAGUGAGUGGAUAAAUAAAUAACAAAGGGGAAAAGAUAAGUUUAGGUAAUUAAUAGUACCAAAUAUUUAGCUAAAAUAAGUCAGCUGAAUAAAUACAAUUUAAUUCCUAGGCCUGGGCCUUAUAUGUUAUGUUGACCAUACCGAAGCAUUUGAUGAGGGCUCUAGUAUAGGUUUUAUGUUUUCAGUUACGAUGCAUGCACAAGUCGAGUCUUGGUUCAUGUAAUAAUUAUAUUUUUGUUGUUUGUAUGAUCAUGCAUGGAAUUAUAUCAUAUGUAAUAGGAUGUAUAGUAUGCUUGCUGUGGGCUCCAGUGACCUUAAGUCGAUUUGAACCCUAGCACCGGUAGUGGUCUGGUUCCCGGGUCGUUACAGAGUGGUAUCAAAGCCCUAGAUUCAUAUGACUGGGCCUAGAGUGUUGGGCUCAUAGAUGUUAUAGAGGGCAAAUACAAUUAGGAAAUAUUAUAUCCACUAGGAUAGAAUGUAGAGUCUUGUCAUGAUAUAUGUGAUAACCUCCAGAUCUUUCCUAGCCCAGGAAUAAGGUCGGGUCCAAAAGAAGGCACAGGUCCAAAGCCCAUCAGAUCAUACGCUCGAGAGGCGGCUCGACUUCACGAGCCUGGGCCGGCAACCCAGGAUGAUCCGGAUCAGAUAUGAGCACAAGCCCCAUAAGGGAGUAGGCCCAAUCACUCACCAGCUCUACCCGCAUGCUCUCUGGAGAGCAUUAAAUGGCCGUUACGCAUGGAGCAGGUGCCUGACACGCCCGUAUGUACGGGCCUGAGUGACAAGGACAGGAAGCACUAUAUAUCGGGGGGUCUCCUCUUGCAAGGGGGAUCUUCUUCUUUUUCUUCUCCUGCCUGGACUCCAUUUUUAUUUUCUCUGCAACUCUUGCCUAGAUAUACUACUCUUAUUCAUGAAACCUGACUUGAACGUCGGAGGGUCUCCGCUGGGGCAUCCCGGUGGACCCUUGACCAUUUUUCCUUAUUUUGCAGGUCCCUUUCUCAGAUAGAACAUGGAGAGACCCAUUUGACAGAUUCGUCUGGGAGCCCAAGAAGGAAUCAGAUCCACAUAAGAGGGGGCGAGGGAGGACCAGAUCUAACAAAUAUGGAGCCCAGGGAGAUUUAAAGUUAUCAAUAUGUAUAAUGAUGUAUAAUGUCAUGACUAUAUACAUGUGCAUUGAUGAUAUGAUAGGUAUGAUGUGGGUUCAUGUGUAUCCACAUGAACCAUAUGAUGCUAAUGCCUAUAUGUUUAAAUGAUUUUUCAGAAGACAGAAUGCAUGGCUUAUGUCGAUCUGUACGAUUGACUAGAGUCCCAUCCGAAAAAUGAGGGUAUAGACGCCCUUCCUCCUGCUGCUCCGUCAAGAGUGCGGUCAAGUAGAAAUAACAAGAAUGAAAAGUCAAGAGACCCUAUAAUGUCUUUUAAUAUAAACAAAAAGAGAACAGAUCCGAGUAGGAUGUUUGCAGAUGCCAGAAAAACAGUAGGAAAUGAUUAGAGGAGAGAUAGAAGUUUGGGUAUGAGUUUUGAAGUAGAGGGUGUGGGAGAGUCUGAAAGAGGAACAGAAGGCGUCAGACCAUAGGAUCCGCCUAUCCACCUCAGUACCAACCCUAUGCACAGGAACUCGGGUAUCCGAUGGAAAGUACAACAGAUUACUCUAGCUACCACCCAUACCCCUCAUUCAUACCCUAUCCUCCUUGCUAUUCAUUAUAUCCACCCUACCCUAUCUUAUGUUUUCGCCUCCUCCCCAUUACUAGAAUUUGGCAAACUCUAACUCAGGAAAUGUUGCACCACCUCCUCCUCCAGCAAAACCAGCUAGAAAAAAGUUUUUAUACCCAGAUAGAAAAAAGUUUUUUCUUCAAACUAUAUCAUUCAUUUUAUUUUAUUUACAAUUUUAAUUAAAUCAGUUUUUGAUAAUUUUUCAAAAAAUUAAAUUUGAAAUAAAACAGAUAUUUUUUUUAAAAAUUUUAGGACAUUAAUAAUUUUUAACUUUGAUUAGCAAUUUAUAAUAUUAAACAUUAUACUUUUUAAUUAACAACAAUUCCAUUUAAUUUUCUAAGUUCAGUAAUUCUCUUUAUGGCCCUGAACUAUUUAAUAAGAUUGAUGAGGGUCAUAGCAAAAACCAAAUAAAUAAACUGGAUCAAUUUUGUAUAUAGAAUAUAAACAUACAACGUACAUCAUACAAAAGCUGAAACAAAAAUAUUAUAGGACUAAAACUCACUUCAAAUUUAAGCAUGCAUAUAUAUAACAUAUGAAUCAGACACUUAAGAACACAUAAAUGAUACUGAUCAAUGCAAAAGCUGAAGUCAUCACAGCGAGAUCAAACGUUGAAACCCUUGUGGUAUAAUUGCUUAAGGAUUGGUAGCUGAUUCAGGUUUGGUGUCUUUGGAAGGGAAUGUGGACUUUGGUAACUCAGGCAAGUGGGGAAAAGUUGGCAGUUCAGGUUUUGGCAACUCAGGCAAGUGGGGAAAAGCUGGCAGUUCAGGCUUUGGAAACUCAGGCAAUUCAGGUUUUGGCAGCGUGGGAAUUUCAGGCUUCGACAACUCAGGCAAUUCAGGUAAUUUUGGCAGAGUGGGAAGUUCAGGUUUAGGAAAGGUUGGGACUUCAGGUAAUGGUGGAAGCUCAACCUUAGGAAGUAAUGGCAAGUCAGGUAAUUCAGGCUUGGGAAGCUCCGGGACCUCAGGUAAUGUUGUCUCUAGAAGCUGCCGUGCUUCUGCAGAGAUUGACAGAGCAACGAGUGAGAGCAGAACAAUGAGUGAAGGGGAGCGAAGAUUGGCCAUAAUUAUGCAACAAGAUCAAUCAGCUGUAAAUAAAAUUUAUCCUCACUUUGUUUUGUGUGUGUUGAUGUUCACUUGUGUUGAGCUUUUAUAGAAGUGGGAAGUGAAGAAUGGGGAACUUACAAAGGUGAUUUAGUGGGAAAAGUUGUGUUAGCUCAACUUCCCACCCAUAAGACUCCCACUGUUGGCAUGACCAACUAUAGACUUCCUUACAAAUGUAACCUUGCUAUCUUUCUAUAUGGAGUCCAGAGAUUGGUUAGAUUGAUAAUAAGCUAAGAUAUGGUUCUCACUUGUAAUCAUUCUCAGAAAUCAGAACACUUGUGAAGUUCAAGAUUUUUCACCUAUUUAAUAAUUCACCUCUUUCUUGUUCUACCUACAAAAGAUGAGAAUCUGAAGAAUGGUUCUUCUUUAGUUACUUUAAAAUAAUGUUCAAUGAAGAUAGCCUCAUCUUCAAAGUUGGCCAACCUACACACUAAACUUUGACAUGUCUUUCUUUUCGUUGAAGCUCUGACUGAUCUUCACAUCCAAUUAUUCAAGUUAAUCUUCUAUUUGAAAUUAAGAAUUUUACUAAAAAUUAAUCCAAUUGAUUUCUUUUAUAUAGAUCUCUUGGUUGGAAUGAUAUUCAAUUUUUUUUUAACUUAUAAAAUUUUUAUAUUAAAAAAAUUAAAACUAUGUGUAAUCUUGUUAGAAUUUAUUUGUAUUAUUUUCUUUCAAACUGAAUCAUUGCAAACACAAGGACUAUAUGAGAGAGUAUAUAUAAAUCUCAGUUGUAAUUAUAACAGUUUAGAAUAUGUCUAAUCACAUUAGUUUUGGUAUAUCUUGAACAAACCGAAAAUUACUAAUGUUUAUAACGGAAUCUGUCUCAACAACAUCUAAUCUCGAUAUGCUUUUCCAAUUAAUCUCGAUAUGCUUUUCCAAUUUUCAGAAGCCUUAUAACUUUUACAGAAUAAAAGAAUUUUACCACGGAGAGUUCAUUUAAUCUUUGAUUUGAUUUGAGUAAAAAUAAAUAAAUUGAAUUAAAUCAAACCAAAUUUUGAAGAGUUCAAACUUAUUUUUUAAAUUUUUUUUAAGUUUGAGUUUCAUUUUGAACUUGAGCCAAGUAUUAAUAAGCUUAAAUUUGGCUCAUUUAGCAAACGAAUUUAGAUAAAUCGAAUUUUUAUCGAGUUUAGUUUUGAAUAAUUUACGAAAAGUUCAAUUUAUUUACAUAUAUAUAUAUAAUAAGAUUUAGUUGAAAACUAAUACGUUUAAAACUAAAUAAUUUUAGUUAAAUAAGUAUAUAUAUAAAUUAGCUUUUAAAAUUAUAAAGGAUGAGUUUUUAAAUUUUAAUGAUUCAAAUAUCUAUAAAUUUUAAAAGUAUAAUUAAACUAUGCAAGUUGAACUUUAAAAAACUUAGAUCUGAUUCAUGAAAAUAUAUACAAAGUAUAAUUUAGUUCUCUUAUAAUAUUACUUUCCGUAUGCUUAUUUGAGACCGUUUAUAAGUUUGUUCGCGAGCUUGCUCAUAAAUUCGAAAAUGAGCUGAAUUCGUGAGUCUUAAAGAGUCUAAUACAAAUGAAUCUGAAAAUUAAGUUCAAUCUUGAUUCAUUUAGAAAUCAAGUUGAGUUUGAUUGAACUUUUUAUCGAAUUGAACUUUCAAUAAUUCACGGACAAUUUAAUCCAUUUACACCACUAAUAGUUAUUUAGGGUCAGAUAUAAUUGCGCUCUAUAAUAGUAGAACUAAAGAGUUGGUUCUAUUAAUUACCACAGAGCCAAUCUAUUAUUGGUCGUUGAUAGAUGCGCAUUGUGGGAGUAACCCUAAUGGAAAAAUUAAUUGAUUGAAAGCUUACUUUGUAGUCAAUAAAUUACCACUAAAAUAUGAGCUUGAUUACAAUAAUAUUUUGACUCAAAUGGCUAAAAUUUUAUCAAUUCGUCUUCUUGUCUCCUUAACAACAUCCACAUCAUUGGCCUCUUUAUUGAAUAGAUAAAAAAAAUUACUUUUUAUACGAAGAACUUAUAAAGAAAGUUCUUAUAAAGCAAUCAUCAGACCAUCAGAGUUUGUUGCUGAGAGGAUCAGGCAUGGUAUGCCAUUUAUGACAAAUACCACACGGGUUAAAAGUAGCCUGUAAGGAUGUUGUUUGGAUAGUUUAGUAAUGGGAUCCAACAGAUUAGGAUGUGUAGGAGUGAAGCCUAAUGUGCCCCUUAUAUGGGUCAUAGGCAAUCCUCCCCCUUGAGCUAGCUUUUGGGGUGAGUUAGGCCUGGCCCAAAUUUAACUUGGUAUCAAAGCCUCCCCAUCCGAUGUUGGGCCUCCCAUAAAUGUGUCACGCACCAGUAAAAUUCUGGGCGUGAGGGGGGUAUGUUGAAUCCCACAUCGGUUGUGGAAAGGGGUAAUGUGCCCCUUAUAUGGGUCAUAUAUAUAUAUAUCAUUAAAUAAAGCAUAAUUCUUGUAUAGAUUGAGUCUAUACGGACAUGUAGUAUAAAUUAUAUGUGAUUUGUUAUAGCUGUCACUACUAUUUUAUAUUACAGUCUGAUGACUGCUGGAUUUCUUCACCCCGACCUAAAGGCCAGGCCCCUGAAAACAGUCCAUAAUCCGAAGGCUUCAAUAUUCCCCUCGAGAGCCAGGUCUAGCCCGCUCAGUCACAGGGCCGGACUCUGCCUAGACUCCUCAAUCAAGCCGGCCCAAACCUCUCGGCCCAAUAAUCAGGCCCUCACCAGGCUCAACUUCAGCCCUACCAUUCAACCCAGCCCAGAAAGAGGAAAAUGACUAACCUGCCCCGCUGAUGGGUCCUUCCGCAUGCGUAUCAGAGGAGAAUUAAUGGUCGUUACGCAUGGAGCAGGCGCCUGACACAUCCGUACAUACAGAGCUGGGCGGCAGAAGACAGCUAGCAUUGUGGCAGAGAGACAGAUAUAUAUAUUACAGUAGAGGCCACGCAAAAGAGGGGGCUCUCUCUUCUUCUUCCUUCUCCUUCCUGGACACCAUUUUUAUUCUUUCUGCAACCCUUGCCUAAAUAUACUACUCUGAGCCAUAAAAUCUGACUUGAGCGUCGGAGGGCCUCCACCGGGGCACCCCCGGUAGGCCCCUGACCAUUCUUUCUUAUUUUACAGGUCCUUUCACCAGGUAAAACAUGGAGAGAUCCAUCAGGGAGCCCAGCAAGAAGGGACCCAGAAGAAAACCAGAUCUAUCAUGGACCAGGAAGAGGAAAAAAUUUAUCACAGUCCAUAUAAAACCGGUGUAGAUAAGUUUUUGCCCUUCAAGGAAAAUUGGUAAAAGAAUAUAAUUAGUAAAUUCUUUCAAUUUUUAGUAUAUGGAAAAUAAUUAUCACCCAUGAUUGAAUUAUUGGACAACAUCAUCAAAGAGAACUCUAGCAAAGUCCUUUCGUAUUUUCAUAUUUUCACUCUGUACCGAAUAAUUUUUGUUUUUUUUUUUUAAAUGAGAAUUGGAGAUUAGGAGAGUAGAACCUAAGCUUGUAAAUGCAGAUUGAAUAGUCUUAUAAUUGAAAUAUCUAAAUAAAAUCAUAAACAAAAUGAAUUUUAACUCAGAUCUUAACAAAUUAAUAUAAUAAUCUCAAUUUGAUCUAGUGUAUCUUUUGAUUUACAGUUUUUUAAGUCAAAUGUCAAUGAUAAAUUUAAAAUUUUAGUAGUUUUUUUCUCGUAACUCUAUUCCUAUUAUUAGAAUCUCUCUUUUACCGAAAAAUUCUUCAUAGUUAUGGAGGAAAAAUUUUUCUUUUUCUUGAAAAACUUAUCAUUUAUUUUAUUUUAUUUAUAAUUUUAAUUAAAUCGGUUGUUCAUAAUUUUUCAAAAAUUUAGAUUUGAAAUAAAAUAUAUUUUUUUUAAUUUUAGGCCAUCAGUAAUUUUUAAGUUCAGUGACUCAUAAUAUUAAAUUUAUAUUUUUUUAAUUCACAACAAUAUUUUAAUUUUUAAGUUCUGUAAAUUCUUGUGGCUCUGUGUGAAUGUGCUUGGAUCAUGAACUAUCAAUAAGAUUCAUCACAAUCAUACCCAAGAUCAAGAUCAAAUAAAUAAGCUGAUCAACUCUGCAAAUAGAAUAUAAACUGUACAUCAUACAAAUAUUUGAAAUAUAAAGAUUACAGGACUAACAUCCACUCCAAAUUUAAUCAUAUAUAUAUGUAAUCAAUGAUACUGAUCAAUGCGAAAGAUGAAGUCAUCACUGUGAGAUCAAACAUCGAAACAUUUAUGGUAUAGUUGUUUAAGGACUGGGAGUUGAUUGAGGAGGUUUUGUGUCCUUGGCAAGGAAUGUGGGCUUUGGUAACUCUGGCAAGUGGGGAAAAGUUGGCAGUUCAGGUUUUGGUAACUCAGGCAAUUCAAGUUUUGGCAAAGUGGGAAUUUCAGGCUUUGGCAACUCAGGCAAUUCAGGUUUUGGCAGUGUGGGAAGUUCAGGCUUAGGGAAGGCUGGGACUUCUGGUAAUGGUGGAAGCUCAACCUUAGGCAGUGAAGGCAAUUCAGGCUUGGGAAGCUCAGAUACCUCAGGCAAUGCUGUUUUUAGAAGGUGUCGUGCAUCUACGGAUUGACAGAGUGAUAAGUGAGAGCAUAAUGAUGAGGGAAGGGGAGCGAUGAUCGGCCAAAAUGCGACAAGAUCAACCACCUGCAAAGUGAAUAGUAAUUAAAAUUUCUGGACAAUUUUGUUUUGCGUGUUGAUGUUCACUUAGUGUUGAGCUUUUAUAGAAGUGGGAAGUGGAGAAUGGAGAACCUUCAAUGGUAAUUUGGUGGGAAAACUUGUGUCCUGUUAGCUCAACUUCCCAUCUAUAAUCCUCCAACAACUGGCAUGACCCAUUAUAGGCUUCCAUACAAAAGUAAUCUUUCCGUCCUUCUACAUGGAUUCAAGAGAUUAGUUGGAGAGAACCACAGCUAAAAGAUUGACAUUAAGCUAAAAUAUGUUGUCAGAAAUCACAACACUUGUCAAGUUCAAGCAUUUUUACAAAUUUAAUAAUUCACCACCACUAAACUUUGACAAAUCUUCCUUUAUUGCAACGCUUAUUGUUAUUGUUGGAAUUUAAUGACUGACCGAUCCAAAUCUCCAUGCGAUGAAAGUGUUGAAUUCCAAUUUAAUAUGAUGGCCUCUUCUAAAAUACUUCUAGACAAUUUAAAUUAAAUUUCAAUUAACUUAUCAUAUUAUAAAGCUUAUUAUUAUCAAUGUCAAGACUACGUUAUGAAAAAUAUCUUUCAUAUUUUUUGUUAUUUGGAAUAAUGAGAAAAAUUAAUCAAUAAAAAUAUUUUCUUGAUUAAAGAAAAAAUUAAAUCAUUUUAAAAAAAUACUGCUUCUUGGCUCUUUCUUUCUCAUCAAUUCUAUUUUCCUGUUGUGCUCUUCCAACAAAUCCAUAGUCACCAACUUGCCCUUUGAAAUUUAAAUUAUUGGACGACAUCAUCAACGAGAAUUCUAGCAAAGUUCUCUAAUAUUUUCUUCAUCAAUGUUGAAUUUUGAGAGGGAAGGGGAAUAAUACAUAUGAAUGCGACUAAAUAGUCUUACAAUUUUAUUGAUUGUAUUGUUAUUUAUACAGUCAAAUAUAAUUAAAAAAUCUAAAUAAAAUUAUAAAUAAUUUAAAUAUUAACUUAAAUAUUAAUAAAUUAAAAUAAUGAUUCAAAUUUAAAUUAUAUGAUUUAGCAUAUUUUUCGGUUUCUAAAUCAAAUAUCCAACGAUCAAUUUAAAAUUUUAGUACUCAUAAGCCCUUGGUAUUAUUAGAAACUCUCUUACUAAAAUUUUUUAAUAAUUAUAAAUAAAAAAGUUUUAUUUUUCUUUCAUAAUAUUAGAAAUAAAACCAUAUCAUUUAUUUUAUUUAAUUUGUAAUCGAAUUAAAUCGGUUGUUCAUGAUUUUUUGAAAAAUUAGAUUUAAAAUAAAAUGGAUAAUUUUUUAAUUUUAGGCCAUCAAUAAUUUUUAAGUUCAGUAAUUCAUAAUACUAAAAUUUUUUAAAAAAAUUCACAACAACAAUUUAAUUUUUAAGUUCAGUAAUAAUUUCUCUUUGUGGCUCUGCAUGAAAGUGCUUGGAUCAUGAACUAUUAAAUAAGAUUGAUCAGUCAUACCCAAAAUCAAAUAAAUAAGCUGGAUCAACUCAGUAUAUAGAAAAUGAACUCACAAGAUACAUCAUUCAAACAACUGAAACAGAAAUAUUAUAGGACUACCACUCACUGCAAAUUAAUCAUGUAUAUGUAAAAGAAGAUAUAAAUGAUACUGAUCAAUGCGAAAGAUGAAGUCAUCACUGUGAGAUCAAAUAUAGAAACACUUAUGGUGUAGUUGUUUAAGGACUGGUGGUUGAUUGAGGAGGUUUUGUGUCCUUAGAAGGCAAUGUGGGCUUUGGCAACUCAGGCAAGUGGGGAAAAGCUGGCAAUUCAGGCUUUGGCAACUCAGGCAAUUCAGGUUUUGGCAGUAUGGGAAGUUCAGGUUUAGGAAAGGUGGAGACUUCAGGUAAUGGUGGAAGCUCAACUUUAGGCAAUGAUGGCAACUCAGGCUUGGGAAGCUCAGGUACCUCAGGCAAUUCUGUCUCCAGAAGGUGUCGUGCAUCUACAGAGAUUGAUAGAGUGAUGAGUGAGAGCAUAAUGAUGAGGGAAGAGCGAAGAUCGGCCAUAAUGCUAU
RNAcentral lists this long non-coding RNA (12890 nucleotides) under Manihot esculenta (cassava). RNAcentral describes it as "long non-coding RNA (MESC_LNC003822)". Lineage: Eukaryota; Viridiplantae; Streptophyta; Magnoliopsida; Malpighiales; Euphorbiaceae. The record is from RNAcentral.